Molecule: ribosomal RNA, 1241 nt
Filed under: metagenome
Description: bacterial LSU rRNA
Rfam family: Bacterial large subunit ribosomal RNA
Source: RNAcentral
UGAUGACGAGACGCUAAGGCGUUGAAGCAGUGUAUGUCAGACUUCCAAGAAAAGCUCGCAAUGUCACAAAUAAAGAAUGCCUGUACCAUAACCGACACAGGUGGGUAGGUAGAGUAUACUAAGGGGCGCGAGAUAACUCUCUCUAAGGAACUCGGCAAAAUGACUCCGUAACUUCGGGAGAAGGAGUGCCUUAUUUAUAAGGUUGCAAUAACAAGAUCCAAGCAACUGUUUAUCAAAAACACAGGUCUCCGCUAAGUCGUAAGACGAUGUAUGGGGGCUGACGCCUGCCCAGUGCCAGAAGGUUAAAGAAGUUGGUUAGUGUAUGCGAAGCUGAUGACUGAAGCCCUGGUGAACGGCGGCCGUAACAAUAACGGUCCUAAGGUAGCGAGAUUCCUUGUCGGGUAAGUUCCGACCCGCACGAAAGGCGUAAUGAUUUGGAUACUGUCUCGGAGAGAGGCUCGGUGAAAUAGACUUGUCUGUGAAGAUGCGGACUACCUGCACCAGGACAGAAAGACCCUAUGAAGCUUUACUGUAACUUGAAAUUGGAAUUGGACUUUGCUUGCGCAGUAUAGGUGGGAAGCGUUGAAAAUAUUCUUGCGGGAGUAUUGGAGCUAUCAGUGAGAUACCACUCUUGUAAUGUUAGAUUUCUAACUUUGAACCAUAAUCUGGUCAAAGAACAGUUUCAGGUGGGCAGUUUGACUGGGGCGGUCGCCUCCCAAAUGGUAACGGAGGCGUACAAAGGUUUCCUCUUAACGGAUAGAAAUCGUAUCUAGAGUGUAAAGGCAUAAGGAAGCUUGACUGUGAGACCUACAAGUCGAGCAGGGACGAAAGUCGGUCUUAGUGAUCUGACGGUACUGAGUGGAAAGGCCGUCACUCAACGGAUAAAGGUUACUCUAGGAUAACAGGCUGAUCUCCCCCAAGAGUUCACAUCGACGGGGAGGUUUGGCACCUCGAUGUCGGCUCAUCGCAUCCUGGGGCGGUAGUACGUCCCAAGGGUUGGGCUGUUCGCCCAUGAAAGCGGUACGCGAGCUGGGUUCAGAACGUCGUGAGACAGUUCGGUCCAUAUCCGGUGUAGGCGCUAGAAUAUUGAGAGGAGCCUUCUUUAGUACGAGAGGACCGAGAAGGACACACCGCUGGUGUACCAGUUAUCGUGCCAACGGUAAACGCUGGGUAGCUAUGUGUGGAGUGGAUAACCGCUGAAAGCAUCUAAGUGGGAAGCCCACCUCGAGAUGAGUAUUCUC